GCACUGGCUUCCAUUGAAGCCACACAUAUUGAAGUUGAAUUUCUAU
Molecule: non-coding RNA, 46 nt
Organism: Anolis carolinensis (green anole)
Lineage: Eukaryota; Metazoa; Chordata; Lepidosauria; Squamata; Anolidae
Source: Rfam